Molecule: long non-coding RNA, 1310 nt
Filed under: Salmo salar (Atlantic salmon)
Lineage: Eukaryota; Metazoa; Chordata; Actinopteri; Salmoniformes; Salmonidae
Description: lncRNA (ENSSSAG00000120494.1)
Source: RNAcentral
GAAAAGGCGUUUCCAUCCACGAUCCGGCAAGACUGUGUAGUUUAUCCUACUUACAACCUGACGGACGGAUCGAACUUGCCUGGACCAAAAAACAACGCACUUAUCCACACUAGCCAAUAGAAUUUCAACAUAAGAAUUUAUUUUGUAAUCGCUUUUAUAUAUUUAGGCUAUACAAUAAAAUCCAUUACAAGACAGCGGUCUAUAGCUAACAACAUCCUAAACCAACUACAUUCUGGAUAGAAGAGCUGACUGAGGAAGAGUACUUUGCAGCAAGAUUGUAUGCGUGUACAUCGAAUAGAAAUCACAUUUUAAUAAAGUUUUGUGAUAGAAGUGAACACUUUCUCUUACGCACAGACAGAGAUCAUCUCUCUCGCUUCGCUGACUCAUAGCCUGCACAGAACCCAGGCUAUGGAAACCCUUAACAGUCUCCAGUAUGUACAGAAGUUUGAGGUCUCCUUCUCUCUAAAUUUGAUCUCUGACUCAGUCACCACCUCAUGUGGACACAACUUCUGCAAGGCCUGUAAUCAACAAACACUGGGAGAAAAGUGACCAAGUGUCCACUCUGUCAAGAGUGAUUCCAAAGAAGACCUAAGCUACGUGUCAACACAACACUAAAGCAAAGCCCCAGCUCCUGCACCAGUCACAGCUCCAGCUCCUGUACCAACUUUAGCACCUGUACCAGCUCCAGCUACAGCCCCUGUACCAGCCCCAGCUAGUCCCUGUACCAGCCCCAGCUACAGCCCCUGUACCAGCCCCAGCUACAGUCCCUCUACCAGCCCCAGCUACAGUCCCUGUACCAGCCCCAGCUACAGCCCCUGUACCAGCCCCAGCUACAGUCCCGCUACCAGCCCCAGCUACAGUCCCUGUACCAGCCCCAGCUACAGUCCCUGUACCAGCCCCAGCCCCUCUACCAGCCCCAGCUCCAGCCCUGUACCAGCCCCAGCUACAGUCCCUGUACCAGCCCCAGCUACAGCCCCUGUACCAGCCCCAGCUCCAGUCCCUGUACCAGCCCCAGCUACAGUCCCUGUACCAGCCCCAGCUACAGUCCCUGUACCAGCCCCAGCUACAGCUCCUGUACCAGCCCCAGCUACAGUCCCUGUACCAGCCCCAGCUACAGUCCCUGUACCAGCCCCAGCUACAGUCCCUGUACCAGCCCCAGCUACAGUCCCUGUACCAGCCCCAGCUACAGCCCCUGUACCAGCCCCAGCUACAGCCCCUGUACCAGCCCCAGCUACAGUCCCUCUACAGCCCCUGUACCAGCCCCAGCUACAGUCCCUGUACCAGCCCCAGCUACAGCCCCUGUACCAGCC